Molecule: long non-coding RNA, 667 nt
Organism: Stegostoma tigrinum
Lineage: Eukaryota; Metazoa; Chordata; Chondrichthyes; Orectolobiformes; Stegostomatidae
Exons: 3
Source: RefSeq, a predicted model, not a curated record
GUGCAAUCACGUAAAUCAGCUUCAUCAUGUGACACGGUGUUAAAAGUGGAUGACAACACAGCACCCACCAAAUGCUGCCAUUUCGACAAAAUGAGGCAAUUCUCAGCUCUUAGUCUUCUCUUCAUGCCCUUGUUCUCUGGUACAGCCACACUGCCUGCCACCAAAUCAGGAGACUGAAAUUUGCAGAAUGAAGUACAACCCAAUCUGCGGAACUGAUGGGAAAACAUACGCGAAUAUAUGCUUGCUUUGUGCAGUGAGGAAUUUUGAGAAAAACAUCAGGAUCUAAAAGUAUGGAGAAUGCUGGAGUAACAAUAAUGGCAAGUGAAGGUUUCCUGAAAACCAGGAUUUCUUUGAUUCAAUUGAUUUCAUUCUUUAAGAUGCAUUCUUCAUUUGGCAUGUGAUUAAGAAAUUAAUCAAUUUUAAUGUACUUUCUGUUGGUGGUAAGAAAUGAGAAACAAUAUACCAAGCACAGCGUAAUUAAAGAAUGUUGUUGUGUAAUCAAUAUAUUUAUAUCUGAUAUCGCAAUCUCAACUUUGCUCUUUAUCACUGUUACUUACAUGCAAUUUCAUUGGAUUAUAUUGAAAGCUAUGAAAUUUGAAUUUAUCCUUAAUAUGAGAUCAUCUACAAUGGGAAAAAGGGACAACGCUCUAAAACCUUGUGAUUUCAC